UACGAAGGGGGCUAGCGUUGCUCGGAAUCACUGGGCGUAAAGCGCACGUAGGCGGAUCUUUAAGUCAGGGGUGAAAUCCUGGAGCUCAACUCCAGAACUGCCUUUGAUACUGGGGAUCUCGAGUCCGGAAGAGGUGAGUGGAACUCCGAGUGUAGAGGUGAAAUUCGUAGAUAUUCGGAAGAACACCAGUGGCGAAGGCGACUCGCUGGACAGACAUUGACGCUGAGGUGCGAAAGCGUGGGGAGCAAACAGG
This 253-nucleotide ribosomal RNA is filed under the name uncultured bacterium. Its description in RNAcentral is "partial 16S ribosomal RNA". It matches the Rfam family "Bacterial small subunit ribosomal RNA", at positions 524 to 776 of the family's 1533-position model. The record is from RNAcentral.